GUGGGGAAUUUUGGACAAUGGGCGCAAGCCUGAUCCAGCAAUGCCGCGUGCAGGAAGAAGGCCUUCGGGUUGUAAACUGCUUUUGUACGGAACGAAACGGUCCUGGUUAAUACCUGGGGCUAAUGACGGUACCGUAAGAAUAAGCACCGUCUAACUACGUGCCAGCAGCCGCGGUAAUACGUAGGGUGCAAGCGUUAAUCGGACUUACUGGGCGUAAAGCGUGCGCAGGCGGUUUUGUAAGACAGGCGUGAAAUCCCCGGGCUCAACCUGGGAAUUGCGCUUGUGACUGCAAGGCUGGAGUGCGGCAGAGGGGGAUGGAAUUCCGCGUGUAGCAGUGAAAUGCGUAGAUAUGCGGAGGAACACCGAUGGCGAAGGCAAUCCCCUGGGCCUGCACUGACGCUCAUGCACGAAAGCGUGGGGAGCAAACAGGAUUAGAAACCCCUGUAGUCC
RNAcentral lists this ribosomal RNA (450 nucleotides) under uncultured bacterium. RNAcentral's name for it is "partial 16S ribosomal RNA". It matches the Rfam family "Bacterial small subunit ribosomal RNA", at positions 354 to 796 of the family's 1533-position model. The record is from RNAcentral.